GACGAACGCUGGCGGCGUGCUUAACACAUGCAAGUCGAACGGGCCUUGUCCCCUUUUUUUUUGGGGGUGGGGUUAGUGGCGAACGGGUGAGUAACACGUGAGUAACCUGCCCCUCACUUCUGGAUAACCGCUUGAAAGGGUGGCUAAUACGGGGUGUUCUGGCCUGCUCGCAUGGGUGGGUUUGGAAAGAUUCGACCGGUUUUGGUUGUUUUGGUGGGGGAUGGGCUCGCGGCCUAUCAGCUUGUUGGUGGGGUGAUGGCCUGCCAAGGCUUUGACGGGUAGCCGGCCUGAGAGGGUGGGCGGUCACACUGGGACUGAGACACGGCCCAGACUCCUACGGGAGGCAGCAGUGGGGAAUAUUGCACAAUGGGCGCAAGCCUGAUGCAGCGACGCCGCGUGAGGGAUGGAGGCCUUCGGGGUGUGAACCUCUUUCGCCAGUGAAGAAGGUCCUGCUCUUUGUGGUGGGGUUGACGGUAGCUGGGUUAAUGAAGCGCCGGCUAACUACGAG
RNAcentral lists this ribosomal RNA (508 nucleotides) under uncultured bacterium. RNAcentral's name for it is "partial 16S ribosomal RNA". It matches the Rfam family "Bacterial small subunit ribosomal RNA", at positions 28 to 507 of the family's 1533-position model. The record is from RNAcentral.